RNAcentral lists this ribosomal RNA (516 nucleotides) under uncultured bacterium. RNAcentral's name for it is "bacterial SSU rRNA". It matches the Rfam family "Bacterial small subunit ribosomal RNA", at positions 9 to 526 of the family's 1533-position model. The record is from RNAcentral.
GAGUUUGAUCCUGGCUCAGGAUGAACGCUGGCGGCGUGCUUAACACAUGCAAGUCGAACGGGAAUUACUUUAUUGAAACUUCGGUCGAUUUAAUUUAAUUCUAGUGGCGGACGGGUGAGUAACGCGUGGGUAACCUGCCUUAUACAGGGGGAUAACAGUCAGAAAUGACUGCUAAUACCGCAUAAGCGCACAGAGCUGCAUGGCUCGGUGUGAAAAACUCCGGUGGUAUAAGAUGGACCCGCGUUGGAUUAGCUGGUUGGCGGGGUAACGGCCCACCAAGGCGACGAUCAGUAGCCGGCCUGAGAGGGCGACCGGCCACAUUGGGACUGAGACACGGCCCAGACUCCUACGGGAGGCAGCAGUGGGGAAUAUUGCACAAUGGGGGAAACCCUGAUGCAGCGACGCCGCGUGGAGGAAGAAGGUUUUCGGAUUGUAAACUCCUGUCGUUAGGGACGAUAAUGACGGUACCUAACAAGAAAGCACCGGCUAACUACGUGCCAGCAGCCGCGGUAAUAC